CAAGAAUGUAAGGCUGAGCAAAGCAAUUAGACAUUGAAAUUCCACCAAGACAGUGUUAAAAGAAUUGUGUUCAGUUCUGCACUCCACACUGGAAGAGUAGUGAGAUUAAAGGAAGCCGCCACAGAGAAGGGCCAUCAAGCUCCAGAUGAUCCUCAGUGAGGGAUACCGCUCUCUCAGUAUUCAAGAGUCACCCUUCCACAGAGAAGCCCUAGACUGCCCAUCAGUGGAAUAUGAGAGAGAGCCAGAGCCUUCAGACCAAGACAAUCGAACAUCCCUGGAUAUCUGAGAUAGCCAGCCUUUCUUCUGGAGAGCUUCCCAGGUAACCAGCAUCCGAAACCCCAGCUGCUGUCUCCAUGGUGAUCAGGAUACCCCCUGUGAUGAAGUCUUGCUCUGUCGCCCAGACUAGAUUGCAGUGAUGUGUUCUCGGCUCACUGCAACCUCCGCUACCUGGGUUUAAGCGACUCUCCUGCCUCAGCUUCCAGAGUAGCUGGGACUACAGGUGAAAAUACACUCUUCAGGAGGAAUUAUUUUUUG
Molecule: long non-coding RNA, 534 nt
Filed under: Homo sapiens (human)
Lineage: Eukaryota; Metazoa; Chordata; Mammalia; Primates; Hominidae
Description: HSALNT0358180
Source: RNAcentral